UACGGGGGGAGCAAGCGUUGUUCGGAAUCACUGGGCGUAAAGGGCGUGUAGGCGGUUCGGUAAGUGGAAUGUGAAAUGCUCCGGCUCAACCGGAGUACUGCAUCCCAAACUGCCGAGCUUGAGUAUGGGAGAGGAUGAGGGAAUUCCUGGUGUAGCGGUGAAAUGCGUAGAUAUCAGGAGGAACACCGGUGGCGAAGGCGGCUUGCUGGGCCAGUUCUGACGCUGAGGAGCGAAAGCGUGGGGAGCGAACAGG
RNAcentral lists this ribosomal RNA (253 nucleotides) under uncultured bacterium. RNAcentral describes it as "partial 16S ribosomal RNA". It matches the Rfam family "Bacterial small subunit ribosomal RNA", at positions 524 to 776 of the family's 1533-position model. The record is from RNAcentral.